This 327-nucleotide ribosomal RNA is filed under the name uncultured archaeon. RNAcentral describes it as "bacterial SSU rRNA". It matches the Rfam family "Archaeal small subunit ribosomal RNA", at positions 1 to 334 of the family's 1478-position model. The record is from RNAcentral.
UUCCGGUUGAUCCCGCCGGACCCGACUGCUAUCAGAAUAGGACUAAGCCAUGCGAGUCAACGUAGCAAUACGUGGCAUACGGCUCAGUAACACGUAGUCAACAUGCCCAGGGGACGUGGAUAACCUCGGGAAACUGAGGAUAAACCGCGAUAGACCAUAAUGUCUGGAAUGAUUUAUAGUUCAAAUCUAUAUGGCCCCUGGAUUGGACUGCGGCCGAUCAGGCUGUUGGUGAGGUAAUGGCCCACCCAACCUAAAACCGGUACGGGCUCUGAGAGGAGAAGCCCGGAGAUGGGCACUGAGACCAGGGCCCAGGCCCUAUGGGGCGCA